UGCCUGGCUCGCUUCCUGUUGUUCCUUGA
Molecule: non-coding RNA, 29 nt
Filed under: Mus musculus (house mouse)
Lineage: Eukaryota; Metazoa; Chordata; Mammalia; Rodentia; Muridae
Source: RNAcentral